This is a long non-coding RNA of Drosophila willistoni, 532 nucleotides long. RefSeq lists it as uncharacterized. The transcript is spliced from 2 exons. The record is from RefSeq and is a predicted model, not a curated record. Lineage: Eukaryota; Metazoa; Arthropoda; Insecta; Diptera; Drosophilidae.
ACGAUUUUUCACGAUAUUUACUUUUUUGUUCGAAGUAAGGACUCUUUUGCAAGAACUGGACUCUUUUGUUGCAUGUUCGAUGCUUCCUUCGAGUUGGAACAGUGGACACCCCCUAUAUGGUGUAGUAUACUUUUAAAUUAAUUAAAUAUGCUGAAAACGAAAAAGGGAUAAAUAAAAAUAUAUCUCGUCGUCAUUAUAAAAUGUUUAGUCAUUAAAGGUCCCGGAUCGAAAAGAUUCGGACACUUUGGACAACACUGCAAGGAAAAAUAUGAGAAAUGCCGAAACUGCUCACAGCCUCAUCCCAAAGAGGAAGCUUGUUUAAAUACUUUAUGUAUAAAUUGUAAACAGGAGCAUAUUGCUACCUUUCUAAAUUGUCCGGCUAGGAAAAAAGCUUUUGCCAUAAAAAACUUUAAUUCUUUUACCAAUUGGCUUGCUACAUUUUGGUUACCAAGACUUGCUACACAAAGAAAAUUUAUUAAGAAACAUAAUGGAAAAUAAUAGAGGACGAAUGGGAUAGAGCGCCCAAUACACA